This is a long non-coding RNA of Drosophila subpulchrella, 990 nucleotides long. RefSeq lists it as uncharacterized. The record is from RefSeq and is a predicted model, not a curated record. The transcript has 2 exons. Lineage: Eukaryota; Metazoa; Arthropoda; Insecta; Diptera; Drosophilidae.
ACUAAUGCAAGGCAAACUUGUGAUGGUAUGUGUGUGCCGACCACUGAUCUAAAUUGACCAAAAAACAAAAAAAGUGUAUUUUUAAAAACAUAUUUAUUUCCAGGAAAGUCUCUUACAGACUAAGAUUUUUUUUUAAACAGUGAAACUAAAAAGAUGUGAAUUAUUUACUUUUGUGUACAGAAUCAUAUUUAUAACAUGGCUAUUUAAAUAAAGGUCUCAAACAUCUCAAAUUAUCAGUCACUGAAAAAGUGUUAAUUUUCUUGUUAUAUUCUGAAGACUAAUUUUUUUCUAAUAUAAGAUGCAAUUUCUGAGUUUGAGCCCUUAGAGCCUCCGGAAAAGACGUUACAGAUGGCAAUGACAUGCAUAAAAACCUAAACUGCUCCAAGAUAAUGCCAACGCAGACCCCAGAUGCUGACAAGGAGUUGCCAAAGACUCCCAUAUCGACGGGAACUCCCGAGCCGCAGUUUUAAAACAAAAUAAUAAUUAAAUUGAAAAGAAAUUACAAAACACUGCAGUACUAUUCAGCGCUUUUUAAGUACUUAAUCACAGCAUAAAGCUGAUCACCGAGCGCUCAAUGAGCCCUUAACUUUUAUGAAAAGUUGUGCUGAUCUUAGCAUAGGCAUAUCCAACGAUUCACUGCUCAAAAAGUGACACACAUUGAAAACACUUUAAGCGUCUUUUAAGCACAAAGAAACGCUAUAAGGGCACUUUGUUGGCGUUGCGUUCGGCUCUGCCGUUGUUGCGUUAUUCCGACGGAUUUAGUAAACACAUUUACUCUACGAGUAACGGGUAUAAAAAGUGAUGUUCGUUCCACGUGCUUCGAAAAAUGUUGUUGCUCUCUGCCGCCUACUUUACGUCAAUACUUUAACAGAAUCGCAAAAAAGAAAGGGGUACACCUCGAAGCAGGAACCGUGCAGAAGGAGAGCUAUUUCGAAUACAAAUUAUUUGCGUUCUUAAAUAUUACAAUAAAAAGGUCCUCCGGAAAGCUGA